Molecule: long non-coding RNA, 337 nt
Organism: Ornithodoros turicata
Lineage: Eukaryota; Metazoa; Arthropoda; Arachnida; Ixodida; Argasidae
Exons: 3
Source: RefSeq, a predicted model, not a curated record
UCGAGACGGGUUGAGAUUCGAUGAUUGAUGUACAUAGCAAGAUCGGAGAGCAGAAGUGUGACAGAAUUUAUACAAGAAUGACAGUGAUGUCCUUUACUUGUUGGCUGAGUGAUGUGCGGAGAAUACACAGAGCAAUUUGGCCACCGUAUUCGGGGAGAUAUCAGUGGUGGCUGAGACCAGUGGUUGGCGACGAAGUGACGUUUGACGACGAGAAGGCGGUGUCCUGCUAGUCUGCUGGGAAGAUAACCACAAGCUGAGGUGGACCAAGGUGGUAUAAAAAUAAUCCAUCUAUGUACGUCAUCUGUACAUGGAAAUAAAAGAAAGUUUCUUCACCGGG